UACAGAGGUCUCAAGCGUUGUUCGGAUUCAUUGGGCGUAAAGGGUGCGUAGGCGGGCAGGUAAGUCAGUGGUGAAAUCUCCGGGCUUAACCCGGAAACUGCCGUUGAUACUAUCUGUCUUGAAUAUUGUGGAGGUAAGCGGAAUAUGUCAUGUAGCGGUGAAAUGCUUAGAUAUGACAUAGAACACCAAUUGCGAAGGCAGCUUACUACACAGUUAUUGACGCUGAGGCACGAAAGCGUGGGGAUCAAACAGG
RNAcentral lists this ribosomal RNA (253 nucleotides) under uncultured bacterium. Its description in RNAcentral is "partial 16S ribosomal RNA". It matches the Rfam family "Bacterial small subunit ribosomal RNA", at positions 524 to 776 of the family's 1533-position model. The record is from RNAcentral.